GACGGAGGAUGCAAGUGUUAUCCGGAAUCACUGGGCGUAAAGCGUCUGUAGGUGGUUCGAAAAGUCCACUGUUAAAAAUUGAGGCUUAACUUCAAAGAUGCCGUGGAAACUUUCAAACUAGAGUAUGGUAGGGGUAGAGGGAAUUUCCAGUGGAGCGGUGAAAUGCGUAGAUAUUGGAAAGACCACCGAUGGCGAAGGCAGCUCGCUGGGACGGUACUGACGCUGAGACGCGAAAGCGUGGGGAGCAAACAGG
This 253-nucleotide ribosomal RNA is filed under the name uncultured bacterium. RNAcentral's name for it is "partial 16S ribosomal RNA". It matches the Rfam family "Bacterial small subunit ribosomal RNA", at positions 524 to 776 of the family's 1533-position model. The record is from RNAcentral.